UUUUAUGGAGAGUUUGAUCCUGGCUCAGAGUGAACGCUGGCGGCGUGCCUAAUACAUGCAAGUCGAACGAUGAAGCUUCUAGCUUGCUAGAAGUGGAUUAGUGGCGCACGGGUGAGUAACGCAUAGGUCAUGUGCCUCUUAGUUUGGGAUAGCCAUUGGAAACGAUGAUUAAUACCAGAUACUCCCUACGGGGGAAAGAUUUAUCGCUAAGAGAUCGGCCUAUGUCCUAUCAGCUUGUUGGUAAGGUAAUGGCUUACCAAGGCUAUGACGGGUAUCCGGCCUGAGAGGGUGAACGGACACACUGGAACUGAGACACGGUCCAGACUCCUACGGGAGGCAGCAGUAGGGAAUAUUGCUCAAUGGGGGAAACCCUGAAGCAGCAACGCCGCGUGGAGGAUGAAGGUUUUAGGAUUGUAAACUCCUUUUGUUAGAGAAGAUAAUGACGGUAUCUAACGAAUAAGCACCGGCUAACUCCGUGCCAGCAGCCGCGGUAAUACGGAGGGUGCAAGCGUUACUCGGAAUCACUGGGCGUAAAGAGCGCGUAGGCGGGAUAGUCAGUCAGGUGUGAAAUCCUAUGGCUUAACCAUAGAACUGCAUUUGAAACUACUAUUCUAGAGUGUGGGAGAGGUAGGUGGAAUUCUUGGUGUAGGGGUAAAAUCCGUAGAGAUCAAGAGGAAUACUCAUUGCGAAGGCGACCUGCUGGAACAUUACUGACGCUGAUUGCGCGAAAGCGUGGGGAGCAAACAGGAUUAGAUACCCUGGUAGUCCACGCCCUAAACGAUGGAUGCUAGUUGUUGGAGGGCUUAGUCUCUCCAGUAAUGCAGCUAACGCAUUAAGCAUCCCGCCUGGGGAGUACGGUCGCAAGAUUAAAACUCAAAGGAAUAGACGGGGACCCGCACAAGCGGUGGAGCAUGUGGUUUAAUUCGAAGAUACACGAAGAACCUUACCUAGGCUUGACAUUGAGAGAAUCCGCUAGAAAUAGUGGAGUGUCUAGCUUGCUAGACCUUGAAAACAGGUGCUGCACGGCUGUCGUCAGCUCGUGUCGUGAGAUGUUGGGUUAAGUCCCGCAACGAGCGCAACCCCCUUUCUUAGUUGCUAACAGGUCAUGCUGAGAACUCUAAGGAUACUGCCUCCGUAAGGAGGAGGAAGGUGGGGACGACGUCAAGUCAUCAUGGCCCUUACGCCUAGGGCUACACACGUGCUACAAUGGGGUGCACAAAGAGAAGCAAUACUGCGAAGUGGAGCCAAUCUUCAAAACGCCUCUCAGUUCGGAUUGUAGGCUGCAACUCGCCUGCAUGAAGCUGGAAUCGCUAGUAAUCGCAAAUCAGCCAUGUUGCGGUGAAUACGUUCCCGGGUCUUGUACUCACCGCCCGUCACACCAUGGGAGUUGUGUUUGCCUUAAGUCAGGAUGCUAAACUAGCUACUGCCCACGGCACACACAGCGACUGGGGUGAAGUCGUAACAAGGUAACCGUAGGUGAACCUGCGGUUGGAUCACCUCCUUUCUAGA
This 1509-nucleotide ribosomal RNA is filed under the name Helicobacter pylori. RNAcentral's name for it is "bacterial SSU rRNA". It matches the Rfam family "Bacterial small subunit ribosomal RNA". The record is from RNAcentral. Lineage: Bacteria; Pseudomonadati; Campylobacterota; Epsilonproteobacteria; Campylobacterales; Helicobacteraceae.